Molecule: long non-coding RNA, 1047 nt
Filed under: Fragaria vesca (wild strawberry)
Lineage: Eukaryota; Viridiplantae; Streptophyta; Magnoliopsida; Rosales; Rosaceae
Description: long non-coding RNA (FVES_LNC004023)
Source: RNAcentral
UCCUUAAAGCUCAACAGGGUUCGGUGCCCUUUUGGGGCAUAAAGAGCGUCCGUGACGUGGAUCAUAGUGCCAUGAGGCAGAAAAAAGCGAGCGGUUCCACGCCCGAGGAUCACAGGGGAAGAUCCAAUCAUUGUCGUCAUAGAUGAUUUACAAGGCACUAACUCAAGAAAUAGUUGCCGGUUCCUUAGAAUUGUGUGGGUUGAUCCACUAUCUGCGAGGCACUCGAUCUCUCCAAGAGACAUACUUACAAAAGAGAGUAGAUAUAUGAGUAAAUAGGUCGAUAUCGAGCUAUUUAGAAUGAUUGAAAAAGCUAAAAGUAGCAACAAUCCCGAGAGUGCUAAAAAUUUCUCGCGCAGAAUGACUUUUCCGCGCUAAAACAGUCAUAACUCCUUCGUUAAAAUAGAUAUGGAUGAACCGCAAAAUGUUCUGAAAACUAGACUCGUAGAGCUUUCUAAUGAUAUAAAGCUCACUGUCUGGUUCGUCCGGAGCUGUUCACAAAGCUCAAACGAAGUGACUGUCCAGGGAGGACAGAUUACUGUUUUUUCGCAGAUUUGGCAUUAGCAAAGUUUUUGAAGCUUGCUGGUGGCAUGGAGACGAAAACUCAGCCACAGGGACGUGUUGAUGAUCAAAGAACCUAGGGGAUUCGAUGAUGGUCCGGUUUUGUCAAGUCUUUAACGUCUUUUACAAUACGGCAAUUGGAGUAAUAGCGUAGAGGGAAUCCAAAAUCAAAAGCUUUCGGUAACUCCAAAUUAAGUAUGACCAGGCAUGUCCGUGGAGGGUCGGUAGUGCGAGGCACACUUAAACCACUAGCUCCUUAAUUUCGGACAAUUCUAAGACAUCAUACUAACUUGGAUGAGCCUAGUUGAACAAUUGAUGAUGGAAAAUCCGCUAUAGGUAAAAGACUUGAACCGGAAAACACGUGAGUAACUCUCCUUGAGAGUCACGGCGCCGUAUGUCACCUCCUUUAAGGGAGAGACCGAAGACGGCGUUGAUGCCAUGUUUUCUAAGAUAGAUGUAAAUCAAUUCGAACCAUGUAGAGACAAGAAG